Rattus norvegicus (Norway rat) is the source of this 124-nucleotide small nucleolar RNA. Ensembl annotates it as small nucleolar RNA SNORA17. Lineage: Eukaryota; Metazoa; Chordata; Mammalia; Rodentia; Muridae. The record is from Ensembl.
AAUGUUCUAGAAGUAUUCCAGGUGUGUCAGCUAUGUCACUUCAUUAGGUGCCAGACAGGGAAGAAUUUAUGUUUAAUUUAGUGUCCUGACCAAUGAACAUCUGAAUGAUUAGUAACUUAUCAUU